This 325-nucleotide ribosomal RNA is filed under the name uncultured bacterium. RNAcentral describes it as "bacterial SSU rRNA". It matches the Rfam family "Bacterial small subunit ribosomal RNA", at positions 28 to 334 of the family's 1533-position model. The record is from RNAcentral.
GAUGAACGCUGGCGGCGUGCUUAACACAUGCAAGUCGAACGAAGCACCUUGAUUUGAUUCUUCGGAUGAAGAUCUUGGUGACUGAGUGGCGACGGGUGAGUAACGCGUGGGUAACCUGCCUCAUACAGGGGGAUAACAGUUAGAAAUCACUGCUAAUACCGCAUAAGCUGUGAGUAUCGCAUGAUACAAGCAGAAAAGGAGCAAUCCGCUGAUAGAUGGGCUUGCGUCUGAUUAGUUAGUUGGUAGGGUAACGGCCUACCAAGACGAUGAUCAGUAGCCGGACUGAGAGGUUGAACGGCCACAUUGGGACUGAGAUACGGCCCAG